CGACGACGUUGAUAGGCCGGGUGUGUAAGCGCAGCGAUGCGUUGAGCUAACCGGUACUAAUGAACCGUGAGGCUUAACCUUACAACGCCGAAGGUGUUU
Molecule: ribosomal RNA, 99 nt
Filed under: Escherichia coli
Lineage: Bacteria; Pseudomonadati; Pseudomonadota; Gammaproteobacteria; Enterobacterales; Enterobacteriaceae
Description: partial 23S ribosomal RNA
Rfam family: Bacterial large subunit ribosomal RNA (bases 1-81)
Source: RNAcentral